AGUGAACGCUGGCGGUAGGCCUAACACAUGCAAGUCGAACGGCAGCACAGUAAGAGCUUGCUCUUACGGGUGGCGAGUGGCGGACGGGUGAGGAAUACAUCGGAAUCUACUUUUUCGUGGGGGAUAACGUAGGGAAACGUACGCUAAUACCGCAUACGACCUACGGGUGAAAGCAUGGGAUCUUCGGACCUUGCGCGAUUGAAUGAGCCGAUGUCGGAUUAGCUAGUUGGCGGGGUAAAGGCCCACCAAGGCGACGAUCCGUAGCUGGUCUGAGAGGAUGAUCAGCCACACUGGAGCUGAGACACGGUCCAGACUCCUACGGGAGGCAGCAGUGGGGAAUAUUGGACAAUGGGCGCAAGCCUGAUCCAGCCAUACCGCGUGGGUGAAGAAGGCCUUCGGGUUGUAAAGCCCUUUUGUUGGGAAAGAAAAGCAGCAGGUUAAUACCCCGCUGUUCCGACGGUACCCAAAGAAUAAGCACCGGCUAACUUCGUG
This 492-nucleotide ribosomal RNA is filed under the name uncultured bacterium. RNAcentral describes it as "partial 16S ribosomal RNA". It matches the Rfam family "Bacterial small subunit ribosomal RNA", at positions 29 to 507 of the family's 1533-position model. The record is from RNAcentral.